Molecule: long non-coding RNA, 719 nt
Organism: Macrobrachium nipponense
Lineage: Eukaryota; Metazoa; Arthropoda; Malacostraca; Decapoda; Palaemonidae
Exons: 4
Source: RefSeq, a predicted model, not a curated record
CGGUAACAUCGUUCUGUCCUGGGUGGUUGUAGACGUUUAACAUGAGUUUCCUUAGCCAUCGGUUUUUCCUCCAGAGCGUUGUAUUCAAUUUCUUCUCGAUUCUUCUCGUAAUUGGUCGCGUUGUCAAGUGUUGACGAAAAAACCAUUUAUUACGCGACUUGACUGCAGUUUGCGCUAAAGACUUCUGUUGAUUUUCGUCACGUCGUUGGUCAAGUUAUAAUGAACCCCGGUCUUCUGCAAGGAUUUGUUUGGAAACGAAAUUUGAUUUAAAGUUCCUGUUCUACUGGUAAAGCAUCAUUUGAUAAGCUGCUCUUUAGCAACCGGUCGAGUGAUCAGUCCCUUUUUGCAAACUUAGUUCCCCUGAGGUGCUGAUGGAUUAAGGCGGCUGAGGGGACGUCUUUUAGUCACUGGUUAUCGCAAGGUGUACCAAAUUGAAGAUGAGCAAAUAAGCACAUCGUGUGGGGGCCAGAGGUAGAGUAACAUUCACGGCGGAGGAAGAGGAUCGAGUUCUAAUAUCUUAGCUGCUGGCCUCCUAGCUGAAGGGUGGCCUUUCGUUUAAAGGAUGGAACCUUGAAGUGAAGAAAGGUCAAGAGCCAUCAUCUUGGAACUAUCGGGACACUUUCAGGCCUUAGACUUGGUUUUAUACUUAACAUUAAGAACCUAGUAUUCCCUUCGAUAAGGACAGUCUGUAAACUGCUGUUGUAAUAAAGAAAUUUAAU